Leptinotarsa decemlineata (Colorado potato beetle) is the source of this 420-nucleotide long non-coding RNA. NCBI's taxonomy places the organism in Eukaryota, Metazoa, Arthropoda, Insecta, Coleoptera, Chrysomelidae. The record is from RefSeq and is a predicted model, not a curated record.
AAAACAUUUUUUUAUAUAAACAUGGAGAAGUAAAAACCAUAUAGCUUUUUUCAGAAGUUUUUAUUAAUGUUCUAAAUAUUUAUGACGUGAAAAUAUAACUGAAAGAUAGAUGUGACAGAACUUUCUUUGAACAAAAGAAACGAUUGUAAUAUUUUAUUCAAAAGAGGAAUGGAAAGAAACUCAGAAGUGCUUAUUAAUUUGAAUAGAAACCACUAUAAGCCUCUACUUUUGGAAGAAAUCAACACGUAUUCAUCAUCGAUGUCACGUAAUAGCCCUUGGACUCGAUUUUCGACAUUACUUCCAUAGGACCUGAGCUUGCUUUCCCAUAAAAAAACGAUCUGGUAUUAUCUUUGUCCUUGGUUUUGUAAAUUUUUUUUGAGAAUUUGAAUAAUCAUCAACUAAAUAUAGCUUUCAUGUAGU